This 462-nucleotide long non-coding RNA is filed under the name Ananas comosus (pineapple). Its description in RNAcentral is "long non-coding RNA (ACOM_LNC034211)". The record is from RNAcentral. Lineage: Eukaryota; Viridiplantae; Streptophyta; Magnoliopsida; Poales; Bromeliaceae.
UGUUCUCACCUCCCCCACUAUUUUUCAGGUAUCGCGGGCGGUGAGGGUUGAGACGAGACGUGAGAUACGUACGUAGCGGUCGAUAGAGCUUUCGACCCAGGUUAUUCGGUUUAGUUUCUACCCCUACUAUUCUGUUGAUAUAGCUUAGAUAGUUUAUAUGGUUCAGUUUUUGGGUAUUUCAGUUAACUAUCAUAUUUUGAUUUGGUUUUAUGAAUGUAAUAAAAAGGAUUUGUGGUUUUCGUUAAUAAAAGGUUUUCUACCCCUCGUGGUAGCGUUUUUAAAGAAUAAAGGUUUCCGUGUAGGAAACAGUUUUCAAAAAGAUUUUCUGUGGAUUUAUGUUUAAAUAUUGAAUGUAUAACUGUGAUGUGAAUGGUGAAUGAAUGAAUGUAUAGUCGUUUCUAUAUUCAUUUGGUUGUGGUUGUACCUGGGUUACUCUUUGUACUUGUGCGACGCCGUGCAAAU